GACGAACGCUGGCGGCGUGCCUAAUACAUGCAAGUCGAACGAGAGCAACCGGUGCUUGCACUGGUCAAUCUAGUGGCGAACGGGUGAGUAACACGUGGGUAACCUGCCCAUCAGAGGGGGAUAACAUCCGGAAACGGAUGCUAAAACCGCAUAGGUCUUCGAACCGCAUGGUUUGAAGAGGAAAAGAGGCGCAAGCUUCUGCUGAUGGAUGGACCCGCGGUGCAUUAGCUAGUUGGUGAGGUAACGGCUCACCAAGGCCGUGAUGCAUAGCCGACCUGAGAGGGUGAUCGGCCACAUUGGGACUGAGACACGGCCCAAACUCCUACGGGAGGCAGCAGUAGGGAAUCUUCCGCAAUGGACGCAAGUCUGACGGAGCAACGCCGCGUGAGUGAAGAAGGUUUUCGGAUCGUAAAACUCUGUUGCUAGAGAAGAACAAGUGCUAGAGUAACUGUUAGCGCCUUGACGGUAUCUAACCAGAAAGCCACGGCUAACUACGUG
This 498-nucleotide ribosomal RNA is filed under the name uncultured bacterium. RNAcentral's name for it is "partial 16S ribosomal RNA". It matches the Rfam family "Bacterial small subunit ribosomal RNA", at positions 28 to 507 of the family's 1533-position model. The record is from RNAcentral.